This 214-nucleotide long non-coding RNA is filed under the name Nicotiana benthamiana. Its description in RNAcentral is "long non-coding RNA (NBEN_LNC022112)". The record is from RNAcentral. Lineage: Eukaryota; Viridiplantae; Streptophyta; Magnoliopsida; Solanales; Solanaceae.
CAUGAUCCUGGUAUGAAUUAUAGUUUACGCUAAUAUGUGGUAUCCGAGCAUGAUAUUUGAACUGGAAAUCUUCCUUUACUAGUACAACUGAAAUCACCGAGGCUUUAGUUAAGAACAGUUUUCAGCGAAACUGUAAGAACAUAUUUAUUUUCUCAUGAUGUGUAAAUAAGUAGAAUUGAGAAUUCAAUCUCUAAGCCAGCGAGAUUAGAAAAUC